GACGAACGCUGGCGGCGUGCUUAACACAUGCAAGUCGAACGGAAAGGCCCUGCUUUUGUGGGGUGCUCGAGUGGCGAACGGGUGAGUAACACGUGAGUAACCUGCCCUUGACUUUGGGAUAACUUCAGGAAACUGGGGCUAAUACCGCAUAGGAGCUCCUGCUGCAUGGUGGGGGUUGGAAAGUUUCGGCGGUUGGGGAUGGACUCGCGGCUUAUCCGCUUGUUGGUGGGGUAGUGGCUUACCAAGGCUUUGACGGGUAGCCGGCCUGAGAGGGUGACCGGCGACAAUGGGACUGAGAUACGGCCCAGACUCCUACGGGAGGCAGCAGUGGGGAAUAUUGCACAAUGGGCGGAAGCCUGAUGCAGCGACGCCGCGUGCGGGAUGACGGCCUUCGGGUUGUAAACCGAUUUCGCCUGUGACGAAGCGUGAGUGACGGUAAUGGGUAAAGAAGCACCGGCUAACUACGUG
Molecule: ribosomal RNA, 468 nt
Filed under: uncultured bacterium
Lineage: Bacteria
Description: partial 16S ribosomal RNA
Rfam family: Bacterial small subunit ribosomal RNA
Source: RNAcentral